Molecule: non-coding RNA, 101 nt
Organism: Fukomys damarensis (Damara mole-rat)
Lineage: Eukaryota; Metazoa; Chordata; Mammalia; Rodentia; Bathyergidae
Source: Rfam
GCUUGCUUCCACAGAAAUAUACUAAAAUUGGAAUGAUACAGAGAUCAGCGUGGCCCCUGCGCAAGGAUGACAUACAAAUUUAGGAAGUGUUCCAUAGUUUA